This 497-nucleotide ribosomal RNA is filed under the name uncultured bacterium. Its description in RNAcentral is "partial 16S ribosomal RNA". It matches the Rfam family "Bacterial small subunit ribosomal RNA", at positions 28 to 507 of the family's 1533-position model. The record is from RNAcentral.
GAUGAACGCUGGCGGCGUGCCUAAUACAUGCAAGUCGAGCGAACAGACGAGGAGCUUGCUCCUCUGACGUUAGCGGCGGACGGGUGAGUAACACGUGGAUAACCUACCUAUAAGACUGGGAUAACUUCGGGAAACCGGAGCUAAUACCGGAUAAUAUAUUGAACCGCAUGGUUCAAUAGUGAAAGACGGUUUUGCUGUCACUUAUAGAUGGAUCCGCGCCGCAGUAGCUAGUUGGUAAGGUAACGGCUUACCAAGGCGACGAUGCGUAGCCGACCUGAGAGGGUGCUCGGCCACACUGGAACUGAGACACGGUCCAGACUCCUACGGGAGGCAGCAGUAGGGAAUCUUCCGCAAUGGGCGAAAGCCUGACGGAGCAACGCCGCGUGAGUGAUGAAGGUCUUCGGAUCGUAAAACUCUGUUAUUAGGGAAGAACAAAUGUGUAAGUAACUAUGCACGUCUUGACGGUACCUAAUCAGAAAGCCACGGCUAACUACGUG